This 617-nucleotide ribosomal RNA is filed under the name uncultured bacterium. Its description in RNAcentral is "bacterial SSU rRNA". It matches the Rfam family "Bacterial small subunit ribosomal RNA", at positions 28 to 641 of the family's 1533-position model. The record is from RNAcentral.
GAUGAACGCUAGCGGCAGGCCUAAUACAUGCAAGUCGAACGGUAGGUUUUGUAGCAAUACGAAACUGAGAGUGACGUAAGGGUGCGUAACACGUAUGCAAUCUGCCCUCAACAGGAGUAUAGCUCGGGGAAACUCGGAUUAACUCUCCAUAAUAUUAUUGGAUGGCAUCAUUUGAUAAUUAAAACGCAAGUGGUUGAGGAUGAGCAUGCGCAUGAUUAGUUAGUUGGUGAGGUAACGGCUCACCAAGACGAUGAUCAUUAGGGGAACUGAGAGGUUGAUCCCCCACACUGGCACUGAGAUACGGGCCAGACUCCUACGGGAGGCAGCAGUAGGGAAUAUCGGUCAAUAGGUGAGAGCCUGAACCAGCCAUGCCGCGUGCAGGAAGACGGCCUUCUGGGUUGUAAACUGCUUUUAUCUGGGGAUAAAAAGUCCAUGCGUGGGCAAUUGAAGGUACCAGAUGAAUAAGCACCGGCUAACUACGUGCCAGCAGCCGCGGUAAUACGUAGGGUGCAAGCGUUGUCCGGAUUUAUUGGGUUUAAAGGGUGCGUAGGCGGCCUGUUAAGUCAGUGGUGAAAUCCAACAGCUCAACUGUUGAUGUGCCAAUGAUACUGACAGGC